GGUAAAAUGGCUGAAUUAGGUGAUAAAUUGUAAAUUUGUUGAAGAAGUUAAAAUCUUCUUUUACCA
RNAcentral lists this transfer RNA (66 nucleotides) under Haania vitalisi. RNAcentral describes it as "tRNA-Tyr". It matches the Rfam family "tRNA". Rfam says of the family: Transfer RNA (tRNA) molecules are approximately 80 nucleotides in length. Their secondary structure includes four short double-helical elements and three loops (D, anti-codon, and T loops). Lineage: Eukaryota; Metazoa; Arthropoda; Insecta; Mantodea; Haaniidae. The record is from RNAcentral.